Molecule: long non-coding RNA, 242 nt
Organism: Scaptodrosophila lebanonensis
Lineage: Eukaryota; Metazoa; Arthropoda; Insecta; Diptera; Drosophilidae
Exons: 2
Source: RefSeq, a predicted model, not a curated record
UGGUGAUCGUAAUUGGUUUCACUACUCUAAUCUUGAUGGUAUUUAUCAUAUACGGGGUGGUGACCUACUUUUUUGGUAAACGCAGCUAUCAUGUGGAAAAUAUAGAAGAAAAAUGUGGUGUUUAUGGAUUGGCGCUUGACGAAGAGAUAAUUUGAGCCCGGCAGCAAAAUAAAUAUAUUUUUUUCAAUUUAUUCUUUUUUAUCAGCAUAAUAAUAAUAAAUAUUUGACUUUGUUAAUACAAA